This 405-nucleotide ribosomal RNA is filed under the name uncultured bacterium. RNAcentral describes it as "bacterial SSU rRNA". It matches the Rfam family "Bacterial small subunit ribosomal RNA", at positions 355 to 776 of the family's 1533-position model. The record is from RNAcentral.
UGGGGAAUCUUGCACAAUGAGGGAAACCUUGAUGCAGCGACGCCGCGUGCGGGAUGAAGGCCCUAGGGUUGUAAACCGCUUUCAGUAGGGAAGAAAGUGACGGUACCUACAGAAGAAGCCCCGGCCAAAUACGUGCCAGCAGCCGCGGUGAUACGUAUGGGGCAAGCGUUGUCCGGAUUUACUGGGCGUAAAGAGCUCGUAGGCGGUUUAUCAAGUCGGAAGUGAAAUCUCCAGGCUCAACCUGGAGCGGCCUUUCGAUACUGGUAUGACUUGAGUAUGGUAGAGGAGUGUGGAAUUCCUGGUGUAGCGGUGAAAUGCGCAGAUAUCAGGAGGAACACCUAUGGCGAAGGCAGCACUCUGGGCCAAAACUGACGCUGAGGAGCGAAAGCGUGGGGAGCGAACAGG